UUAAGUUACUAAGGGCGCACGGGGGAUGCCUUGGCGUUCAGAGGCGAUGAAGGACGUGGUAAAGCUGCGAAAAGCUUCGGGAAGUUGCUAACAAGCUGUGAUCCGGAGAUAUCCGAAUGGGGAAACCCGGCCCUUUUAGGGUCAUUCCGAAAGGAAGGCAAACCAGGAGAACUGAAACAUCUAAGUACCCUGAGGAAGAGAAAUCAAUUGAGAUUCCCUUAGUAGCGGUGAGCGAAGGGGGAAUAGCCCAAACCGUAUGAAUUUAUUCAUGCGGGGUUGUAGGGCAUGCAACAAAGUCUAUUUGAACUGAUAGUUGAAGAGAGCUGGGAAGCUCCGCCAUAGAAGGUGAUAGCCCUGUAAACGAAAUUGGUAAUUAGGACGAGCAUGUUCCUGAGUACGGCGGGACACGUGGAACCCUGCUGGAACCUGGGUGGACCAUCAUCCAAGGCUAAAUACUACUGAACGACCGAUAGUGAACAAGUACCGUGAGGGAAAGGUGAAAAGAACCCCGAGAGGGGAAUGAAAUAGAUCCUGAAACCGUGUGUCUACAAGCAGUCGAAGCACCAUGUUUUCUUCGGGAAACGGUGCGACGGCGUACCUCUUGCAUCAUGGGUCAGUGAGUUGCUCCUCAGUGGCAAGGUUAAGCCGAUAGGUGUAGCCGAAGCGAAAGCGAGUCCUAACUGGGCGAAUAGUCAUUGGGGGCAGACCCGAAGCCAGGUGAUCUAUCCAUGGCCAGGUUGAAGCUCGGGUAACACCGAGUGGAGGACCGAACCGGGUAACGUUGAAAAGUUAUCGGAUGAGCUGUGGAUCGGAGUGAAAGGCUAAUCAAACCUGGAGAUAGCUGGUUCUCCCCGAAAUAUAUUUAGGUAUAGCGUCGUGUAUGUGCAUUGGGGGUAGAGCACUGAUUGGGCUAGGGGGCCUACCAGCCUACCAACCCCAGCUAGCCUCCGAAUACCAAUGUAAUCGAGCACGGCAGUCAGCCUGCGAAUGACAAGGUCCGUAGACAAAAGGGAAAGAACCCAGACCACCAGCUAAGGUCCCUAAUUAAUGCUAAGUGUGAAAGGAUGUAGAAACGCUAAGACAGCCAGGAGGUUGGCCUAGGAGCAGCCACCCUUCAAAAAAAGCGUAACAGCUUACUGGUCGAGCGGGUCUGCGCCGAAAAUGUAACGGGGCUAAGCAUUAUACCGAAGCUGUGGAUACAGUUUGACUGUAUGGUAGGGGAGCGUUGUUAGCGGGACGAAGCAUGAUCGUGAGAACGUGUGGACUGCUAACAAGUGAUUAUGCUGACAUGAGUAACGAUAAACAGGGUGAAAAGCCCUGUCGCCGAAAGUCCAAGGUUUCCUGAGCCAGGGUAAUCCGCUCAGGGUUAGUCGGACCCUAAGCUAAGGCCGAAAGGCGUAGGUGAUGGAAAACGGGUUAAUAUUCCCGUACCGUAUAUAUCGCGCGAUGAGGGGACGGAGAAGGGUAGAUUUACCGGGUAAUGGUUGUCCCGGAUCAAGCAAGUAGGCAGGAGAAGUAGGCAAAUCCGCUUCUCUUUAUGCCAAGAUGUGAUGACCAUCAGCGGCCUUCGGGCCAAUGAGAAGUAAUUGAUCCCAUGCUUCCAAGAAAAGCCUCUAAGUUUAGUUAUAUACGUCCGUACCCCAAACCGACACAGGUGGACGAGUAGAGAAUACUAAGGCGUUUGAGAUAACCGUGGUUAAGGAAUUAGGCAAAUUGCAGCCGUAACUUCGGGAGAAGGCUGGCCCUUGUUAGGUGAUGGACUUCGCGUCCUAAGCUGAAGGGGGUUGCAGAUACCAGGGGGUAGCGACUGUUUACUAAAAACACAGGACUCUGCUAACUCGUAAGAGGAUGUAUAGGGUCUGACGCCUGCCCGGUGCCGGAAGGUUAAGGGGAUUUGUCAUCGCUUCGGCGAGAAGCUCUGAACCGAAGCCCCGGUGAACGGCGGCCGUAACUAUAACGGUCCUAAGGUAGCGAAAUUCCUUGUCGGGUAAGUUCCGACCUGCACGAAU
RNAcentral lists this ribosomal RNA (2009 nucleotides) under oral metagenome. RNAcentral's name for it is "bacterial LSU rRNA". It matches the Rfam family "Bacterial large subunit ribosomal RNA", at positions 3 to 1997 of the family's 2925-position model. The record is from RNAcentral.